GACGGAGGGUGCGAGCGUUAAUCGGACUUACUGGGCGUAAAGCGCAUGUAGGCGGCCGAACAAGUCAGGUGUGAAAUCCUCGGGCUUAACCUGGGAAGUGCACUUGAUACUGUCCGGCUAGAGUUUGGCAGAGGAAAGUAGAAUUCCCGGUGUAGCGGUGAAAUGCGUAGAUAUCGGGAGGAAUACCAGUGGCGAAGGCGGCUUUCUGGGCCAAUACUGACGCUGAGGCGCGAAAGCGUGGGGAGCAAAUAGG
Molecule: ribosomal RNA, 253 nt
Filed under: uncultured bacterium
Lineage: Bacteria
Description: partial 16S ribosomal RNA
Rfam family: Bacterial small subunit ribosomal RNA
Source: RNAcentral